GCCAAGAUCGCACCACUGCACUCCAGUCUGGACAACAAAGCGAGAAGCCAUCUCAAAAAAAAAAAAGAAAAGAAAAGAAAAAAGUGGUUAUGCUUCAGCUUUAAAUACUUAAGAACCAAAUCUUAUGAUCCGAAUGUGCAGGUUAUUUGAACUCCUCUAAUUUGGAAUUCGUGGCAUU
This is a long non-coding RNA of Sapajus apella (tufted capuchin), 178 nucleotides long. RefSeq lists it as uncharacterized. NCBI's taxonomy places the organism in Eukaryota, Metazoa, Chordata, Mammalia, Primates, Cebidae. The record is from RefSeq and is a predicted model, not a curated record. The transcript is spliced from 2 exons.